AUUGAACGCUGGCGGCAGGCCUAACACAUGCAAGUCGAGCGGAUGAAGGGAGCUUGCUCCUGGAUUCAGCGGCGGACGGGUGAGUAAUUCCUAGGAAUCUGCCUGGUAGUGGGGGAUAACGUCCGGAAACGGGCGCUAAUACCGCAUACGUCCUGAGGUAGAAAGAGGGGGUUCUUCGGACCUCACGCUAUCAGAUGAGCCUAGGUCGGAUUAGCUAGUUGGUGGGGUAAAGGCCUACCAAGGCGACGAUCCGUAACUGGUCUGAGAGGAUGAUCAGUCACACUGGAACUGGGACACGGUCCAGACUCCUACGGGAGGCAGCGGUGGGGAUUAUUGGACAAUGGGGGAAAGCCUGAUCAAGCCAUGCCGCGUGGGUGAAGAAGGUCUUCGGAUUGAAAAGCACUUUAAGUUGGGAGGAAGGGCAGUAAGUUAAUACCUUGCUGUUUUGACGUUACCAACAGAGUAAGCACCGGCUAACUACGUG
This 484-nucleotide ribosomal RNA is filed under the name uncultured bacterium. RNAcentral's name for it is "partial 16S ribosomal RNA". It matches the Rfam family "Bacterial small subunit ribosomal RNA", at positions 30 to 507 of the family's 1533-position model. The record is from RNAcentral.